CCUCAGGUUUCCUCCGCCCCAUCACAGUGCGGGAGCUUUACUACGCUGCCCACUCUCAAUAGGCAGGGCUGACGGUAAGAUUUCAGAUGCCGGCCAACCUCUCAGAGGGAACAGGUGUCCCCUCUGUCUGCCCGUGGUCGAGGUCCCGUGGUGGAAGCAUGGGAAAGGGCAGCCACCGCAGAGGUUCUACCCCAGCGGACAGGUAACAGAGCGCCUUUCAACUCGGCCUGAAUUCAGCUAAAUUGGUAUCCUUUUAGGCACCACGGGAAGCAGUUGGAUCUAGGAAAUAAAGAGCGGAAAUUUGCAGAGUGAUUCCCAGUUGGCUUGAGGAGUAUGGAGCUCUUACAAUGGGAAAGGAGAGGAACUAUUUUGAUGUGUAAAUGAGAUAAGAAAAAAGGGUCUUAGGCCAGAAUUGCUUAACUUUAUUGCCUUAAUGGAGGUGAUCAGACUACACUAAUUGUGUAACCAGUGAAUAAUUCAGUGACUGAAAUAUACUGCCCUCAACGGACUUUAGCAAACACAUCAACAAUCACCUUUCCGACAAUUUCCUGGGGACAUUUUUUUCUUUCAGGCUUGAGAUGAGGAGGGGUUUUAAGCCUGGUGGUGAGCAGAUCAUUAAGAAGAGAGAUCAAAAGAGCAGCAGGGUCAGCCCUGAAGGAAGCAGCUCAUCAGUCUGACCUGUGAUCACAGGUGCAGGUGUGAUGGG
This 706-nucleotide long non-coding RNA is filed under the name Xyrichtys novacula (pearly razorfish). Lineage: Eukaryota; Metazoa; Chordata; Actinopteri; Labriformes; Labridae. The record is from RNAcentral.